RNAcentral lists this ribosomal RNA (254 nucleotides) under uncultured bacterium. RNAcentral describes it as "partial 16S ribosomal RNA". It matches the Rfam family "Bacterial small subunit ribosomal RNA", at positions 524 to 776 of the family's 1533-position model. The record is from RNAcentral.
GACGUAGGGGGCAAGCGUUGUCCGGAUUCACUGGGCGUAAAGGGCGCGCAGGCGGUUCCGUAAGUCAGGCGUGAAAUACCACGGCUCAACUGUGGAAUCGCGUCUGAUACUGCGGUGACUUGAGGGCGGUAGAGGCAGAUGGAACUAGCGGUGUAGCGGUGAAAUGCGCAGAUAUCGCUAGGAACGCCGGUGGCGAAGGCGAUCUGCUGGGCCGUUCCUGACGCUCAGGCGCGAAAGCUAGGGGAGCGAACCGG